Long non-coding RNA from Lemur catta (Ring-tailed lemur), 799 nucleotides. RefSeq lists it as uncharacterized. Lineage: Eukaryota; Metazoa; Chordata; Mammalia; Primates; Lemuridae. The transcript is spliced from 3 exons. The record is from RefSeq and is a predicted model, not a curated record.
GCGGGCAGGAGGGGGCGGAAAAAGGAGGAAGAAGGUCGGGCAAACUUGGAGCCAACCAAUUACAGCAGCGCUAGCUGCGAUCUUGGCCAGCACGGAAUCUCGGGGAGGAAUAACGCAAGGCAUGAAGGGAGGGGUGCGGGCCUGGGAGCCCGGGAAGAGAAGACGGAAGUGGAGCGAGGACAAAAUGGCCGCGAAGAUUUUCACCUGAUCCCCUAGCUUCAAGCCCCAGGCCUCAGCUCAACCUUCUGCGAUACCUGUAUAGCUUCCAGUCCUUGAGCCUUUUACUGAACUGGCUUGCCCACCAUAGGCACAGGGGUUUCAGCCGCUGUGUUUUGAAAUGAUGUGUUCACUCAGAUGGAAAGAAGCCCACCUUCCCCGCAGGCACCCAUCGUGAGCCGUCAUGCCUGUAUCCUGCACAAAUUAGGGGCAUGUAGAGCCGUAUCCUGGGAUGGUAAGGGUUGAGCUGUUGAAAACAUCAGAAAAAAAGUAGUUCAGGAGUCACAAAGUUCACAAAUCUAAAACUCCAUUGAAAGUUACUUCUAAAUACCAUCACGGUACACAUUUGUAUGAUAUUCACGCACAGCAUAAAAAGUGUAUGGCAAGAUCUUUGUUUUUCUUCCCCAAAUGAUUUCAAAAAUAAUAUACAUCAUUCCAAAAUAGGAUUUAGGUGAUCAGUUUUUUCCUUCCCCCAAAAUAGUUUGACCAUUGAGUUUGAGACCAUUGUUCUCUUCCCCCAAAUAUAAAAGGUACAGAAAUUUCACUUGCCCCAUCAGUUCCAUUGAGAAAUAUUUCUGGGUAG